GAGCUGCCUGAUGCACAUCAAGGGGGACCUGCAAUCCUGGAGCAGGGCCGAUGGAUGGAGGCUUACUCCCAUGAGACAGCAUUUGCUGUGAGGUUGGAGGUCCAACCCCAUGAGACAGCAUUUGCUAGGAGGUUGGACUGUCAGACACUUCAAACUGUGUUUAGGACUGCAAUGAAAGGGAGAAGCAUAAAGUUUCCCACAGACCUACACUCCUCCCUAUAGGCUCCUGACAUGAAAGACCAAGUGGGUCAGAUGGAUGGUCAAUGCCGGGGUUGUGCUCAUUUUCAAGGAGGACAGCAGCUGCCUGCCAGACCUCACUGGCUUGCUUUUGCUCACCCCCACCACACCACAGGCUCCCAGCUACAGUACACCGGCUGCCUCGCAGCCUCAAGUCCAUUACUGUUAUCUACAGAGCACUUGGAAUCUGCAGGGCACAGUAGAAACCAGAUAAAGAACUGCCUGAGGCACCAGCGAAUCAGUCCUUCAAAGCCUGUUUGCCAAAUGCUCCCCCAAAACGUUGCACUUCGGUACACCUCUGUUUUCAGCAGAGCAGCUGCUCCAGGAUUAGUGUACUUUCAAGACUGUAGCCCACUAGAUCAGUUUAACUUACUUUGAAUUACAAUGAUGUGUUCACAUCAGUGGAAGUGGAAUGAUGUUCCCCAAUAACUAGUUAUUACAGCAUGAAACAGGUAAUCCUUCCAAGGCCUCUCAGGAAAGGAAGAGAAAACUCAUUCCGCCUGGAACUUCCAAAAGCAAGAACAAUUCAUCAGAGUGAAUUCAAACCUAAAUGCAAAGGGGAUGGCAGGGGUCACAUGUCUGCUAAUGGACUGAGACUCAGAAGGCUUAAUUUUAAAUUCCUGGCUCUGGCACAGAAAAGUCAUGCUAGCCUCUCAGGAAAUUCUUAUGCUCAUAGUAAUCCUUAUUCUUGUGCCGUUCACCAAAUAAAGCAGAGUAUUAAA
Cygnus olor (mute swan) is the source of this 959-nucleotide long non-coding RNA. RefSeq lists it as uncharacterized. NCBI's taxonomy places the organism in Eukaryota, Metazoa, Chordata, Aves, Anseriformes, Anatidae. The transcript is spliced from 2 exons. The record is from RefSeq and is a predicted model, not a curated record.